This is a non-coding RNA of Heterocephalus glaber (naked mole-rat), 589 nucleotides long. NCBI's taxonomy places the organism in Eukaryota, Metazoa, Chordata, Mammalia, Rodentia, Bathyergidae. The record is from RefSeq and is a predicted model, not a curated record.
UGCACAUGCGCAGCUCACCUGCCUCGCUUUCCGCCUAGGCCUCGCCUUUCUCCGUUUAGAUCUGCGCCUUCCUUCCCGUUAGGGCGUCUCCUCCAGGAAGCCUCCCUGAUGCCCCUGGAUGUCCCGCAGCGCAGGCCUGAGCUCUUCUCUUUGGGACAGGACGUCUCGGUCGUCCUGCUGCCGAGCACCCCGCGGCCACGUCCUCCUUCGCGCCAGGUCCCCAGCCGUGGGCCUCCCCGUGUCUGUCUCCCCCUCGCUGGCCCUGCCCCCGGAACGGUUCGCCCGCCCGCCCGGAAGGGCUUUCUUUUCCCUUGCGUUGUGAGCGCAGCUGGACCACUCCCUCUUGCAGGAGCUCCGGGACGCUGGUCAUCCUGGUCUGUGAUCCCGGAACCGUCUCAUGAAGAUGACCCGAUAAGCCUGCCAUCCCAGCACUCGGGAUGCAGAGGCAGGGGGGUCGGAAGUUCGAGCGCAGCAUGGACCACUUAACAACUUAGUGAGACCCUGUGUCAAAAUAAAAAAUAAGAAAGGGCUGGGGAUGGAGCUCAGUGCGAAGGCCCUGGGUUCACUCCCCAGUACCACAAAACGAAAA